Molecule: long non-coding RNA, 1294 nt
Filed under: Homo sapiens (human)
Lineage: Eukaryota; Metazoa; Chordata; Mammalia; Primates; Hominidae
Description: PREDICTED lncRNA (TCONS_00241184)
Source: RNAcentral
GGAGGGGCCGUGUCGGGGGGGAGCCAGCGAGUCGUGCGCUGCCGUCUCUAAGUCGCCGGUGCCAGCCGGGUGUGCAGCGCCGCGCUCCCGCGGGAGGACGGCCCGGGGGGUCGGUCUGGGAAACUCCGGCCCCGCCCCCAUUCUCCACCCGGAUUCCACCCCGAUCCACCCAGACCCGCAGCCCCUCGCCUGGAGUCCCGAGGACCCGAUUCGAAACCAGCCGCGGGAGCCGUGGGGGCAGGCGGGAGAGAGGGCUGGGCCCCUGUGCUUGCGAGAACGGGUCCUUCGAAGUAGAAACUGGGGAGAGGACUUUAAGCCAGGUCCCCUGGGAGAAGGCCGGGCCAGGUUACGAGGUUUCUCCUUGGCCUUGUUCCCGCUGCGCCCACUCCUGAAAGCUCCGGAGAUGCUGAAGUCUGGACUGUGGAAUGACUCUACAGGAUACUCGGAGGGAUAUCAGGUUUAGGAGACCGAGGGGUGUGGAGUCGGAGCCAGGCUGCAUUCCAGCCCGGGUGUCCGGGUGUGCUCAGAGCUCUGCUGGGACCAGGGUGGACCCCGGAUUCCCCUGUGGAGCCUGUCACUGCCCCUCCCAGCCGGAUUCUCGGAUUAUUUCAUCCGGCUUAGCUCUGCCCCAGGGCUGGGGGAGCUGGCUCCCCCGCCCACUCCUUCCAGAGGGUCCUCUCAUUCCUCAGCAUAGGCUCCCCAGUUCUAGACCCCAGAGACUCUAGGAGACCCUCGAAGAAGGAGACAGGGUGGGCCCAACCAGCCACACAUAAUCAUCCCCAGCAAGAAACUGGACCCUGGAGAAAAGGGUACAUGUUGCCCACGCAUCUCCACACACUCAGGAACCCCAGCUACCCUAGAAGUGCUCCCACUCACUGCCCCCGACUCCUCAGUUUGGGCAAGAGAGGGGCGGGAGGCAGGGGAGCAUCAUCCAGGCAGAAGUUCAAGGCUGGAAGACCCCAUCAGUCGUUUAGCCCAGGAGCUCUUAACCUUUUCAUGGGGUCAUGGCCCUCUUGAGAAUCUAAUAAAAGUAUAGAACUGUCUUCAGAAAAAUGUGCACAUACAAUUUCAAAGAAUUACUGGAGUCUGAGACCUAUUUGUGCAUCCCUGGGAAGUCCCUGAAAUUUUUACUGGGAAGGAAAUUGAGGCCCAGAAAUGGAGGGUGGCUUGCCCAGAGCCCCAUGUUAAUUUGUGGUAGUGCCUGAGAGUGUGAAAAUACACACACACACACACACACACACACACACACACACACACACACACAAAGGGAAACAGAUGCACUGGAAGGGGACAG